Molecule: unclassified non-coding RNA, 217 nt
Filed under: uncultured Tomentella
Lineage: Eukaryota; Fungi; Basidiomycota; Agaricomycetes; Thelephorales; Thelephoraceae
Description: sequence contains ITS2
Source: RNAcentral
ACACCUCAACUCUCAUGGUUUUCCAUGAUGAGCUUGGACUUUGGAGGUUUUGCUGGCCUAUGGUCGGCUCCUCUCAAAUGAAUCAGCUUGCCAGUGUUUGGUGGCGUCACAGGUGUGAUAACUAUCUACGCUUGUGGUUGCUCACCAGGUAACCUUUGGUGACAGAGGUUCGCUGGAGCUUAUAAACGUCUCUCCUCGGCGAAGACACUUUUUGAAC